AUUGAACGCUGGCGGCAGGCCUAACACAUGCAAGUCGAGCGGAUGAAGGGAGCUUGCCCCUGGAUUCAGCGGCGGACGGGUGAGUAAUGCCUAGGAAUCUGCCUGGUCGUGGGGGAUAACGUCCGGAAACGGGCGCUAAUACCGCAUCCGUCCUGCGGGAGAAAGUGGGGGAUCUUCGGACUUCACGCUAUCAGAUGAGCCUAGGUCGGGUUGGCUAGUUGGGGGGGUAAGGGCCUACCAAGGCGACGAUCCGUAACGGGGCCGAGAGGAUGAUCAGUCACACUGGAACGGAGACACGGUCCAGACUCCUACGGGAGGCAGCAGUGGGGAAUAUUGGACAGUGGGCGAAGGCCUGAUCCAGCCAUGCGGCGUGGGUGAAGAAGGUCUUCGGUUUGGAAAGCACUUUAAGUUGGGCGGAAGGGCAGUAAGUUAAUACCUAGCUUUUUGAAGGUAACCAACAAAGAAGGCACGGCCUAAUUCCUG
RNAcentral lists this ribosomal RNA (483 nucleotides) under uncultured bacterium. RNAcentral's name for it is "partial 16S ribosomal RNA". It matches the Rfam family "Bacterial small subunit ribosomal RNA", at positions 29 to 507 of the family's 1533-position model. The record is from RNAcentral.